This 505-nucleotide ribosomal RNA is filed under the name uncultured bacterium. RNAcentral describes it as "bacterial SSU rRNA". It matches the Rfam family "Bacterial small subunit ribosomal RNA", at positions 8 to 526 of the family's 1533-position model. The record is from RNAcentral.
AGAGUUUGAUCAUGGCUCAGGAUGAACGCUGGCGGCGUGCUUAACACAUGCAAGUCGAACGAUGAUGCCAGCUUGCUGGUGGAUUAGUGGCGAACGGGUGAGUAACACGUGAGUAACCUGCCCUUGACUCUGGGAUAAGCCUGGGAAACUGGGUCUAAUACCGGAUAUGACCUUCCAUCGCAUGGUGGUUGGUGGAAAGCUUUUGUGGUUUUGGAUGGACUCGCGGCCUAUCAGCUUGUUGGUGGGGUAAUGGCCUACCAAGGCGACGACGGGUAGCCGGCCUGAGAGGGUGACCGGCCACACUGGGACUGAGACACGGCCCAGACUCCUACGGGAGGCAGCAGUGGGGAAUAUUGCACAAUGGGCGCAAGCCUGAUGCAGCGACGCCGCGUGAGGGAUGACGGCCUUCGGGUUGUAAACCUCUUUCAGUAGGGAAGAAGCCGCAAGGUGACGGUACCUGCAGAAGAAGCGCCGGCUAACUACGUGCCAGCCGCCGCGGUAAUAC